UUUUUAUUUUUUUUAUUUUAUCUUUGGGUUCUUAUUUUAUCUUUGGUAAUAAAUAAAGCACUAAAAUUUUCAUGAAUUUUCAGACAGGAAAUUCCAUUUGAUAUCAACUCAGAAUAAUAGUCUGAAACAAUCCCUUAAAGUUUUUGUUACAGUGUCACUAACAUCAUGUAUACUAAGCUGAACGUUCUCUUAAUACUGUAGAAAUUCAGCUGCAGGAAGUAUUUUAGUAGUAUUAUCAAUUCAGUUAAGUACCUAAACCUGGUAAGGUCCGGAGUAUCAGAUACAAUAGUUAUACAAUAGAAUAGAAUAGGCUAGUUUCCAACUAGUCAAAACAGUUACUUUUUAAUAAACGUCAAAACACAAAAUUACUAUGGAUUUUGUAUGCAAAAGCACACUGUGACGUCAUAGAAAAACGUGAGCCUACCUACCUUCUGUCAGAGUACUGCGGGGCGGAAGGCAAGAGGGAAACCACUGCCCUAUUUUUCCCUAAAAAGUAGCAUGGAGAAUGCUACACCGACACGAGCGCGGCUCUUAAAUUGAUGAUCUUGAACCUAGUACAGUCAUGAGUAAUAUAAUGUACCCACUUUAGGACUCUGUCGCACUAACAUAUUUGACGUUUAGUGAGACUUACAUUUCAAUUUGUCAAAAAAGUUAAUGUGACAUGGUACCAAAGUGUAUACAUAUUAAUGCUCGUGACCGUACACAACCCAAUUAAAAAGGUAUCUGCCUCACGAACUCAGUACGUAAAAAAGGUCUACUGCGUUCUUUUUUAAUCUGAGAACAUAAACAAAUAUAAUAAAAUCACAAAUUGUAAUUAAGUGAGUUUGAAUGUCACCUCAAUUUAAAAUGUCCAUUUCGAACUACUUCGAAUCGUAUUUAUAAAAUAAGAAAUUAAUCCGAACAGUGUUUCUCCGCUUUUUAGAAAAACCCACACGAAUGUGUUAAUGUAAUUUGUUAUAUUCUAGGUAAUACUUAUAUUUAUCACUUCAACCAUUAAGCUAUUAACCAUUAAGUUAUGUCAGAGGCCUUUGGUGGCUCAAUAGUAGCCCUCACAGGGUUGAUAAGGUCGGUCAUCGACCCCAUAACUCAUACGACUGAAGAUCUCUUCAACACUGAAGUGGAAGUAGAAAAAAAACUCGAACUACUUAGCUUCUCGAGGAUAUUAUACAAGUUUUCUUGUACACUACAUCUAUCUAUCUAGUAUCUUUAACCAAUCUUAUCUAUAUGAGUGGUGAAUUGUCACCAUAUCAUCACCUCUCUAGCGUUGUCCUGUUUCCCACAGGGUCCGCUUGCCUAACCUGCAGAUUUGACAGGUCCGAUUUGGUACAGAAGCGACUGCCUGACCUUCCACCUUGGAGGGAAACCCCCAUUACAGAUGUCACGAACCUCCGAAAACACAUUUCUCAGGUAUAUGGGAUUCCUCACGAUGUUUUCCUUUACCUCUUAACGCAUGAUAAUCAUUAAAGAUUCAAAUAUGAGUUCGAAACACGUACCUCGAUUUGAACCGGCGACAUCACAAUGAGAGUCAAGCGUUCGUCCAAUUAGGCUAACACAGCUACACAUUAAUUCCUUCUGACGACUUGUAGGUCUAAAUGACCAGAGUAUAUUAAUAAAAUAAACCAUACCCUACAAUCCUGAAUGACCUUCUUUCCACUGCCCAAAUGAUAAUAAUAAAUAAUAAUAAGCUACAAAAAUUGCCGCAUAAAGUACCUUUUUUUUUGGAAGGGCGGGUAAAAGGCGAAUGAUGACAGUCGAUCAUACCUUUAACGUGUCUUUAGUGAGGCAACGCCGUCAUUAUUGACUUGCUAUAAUUAUCUGCGAGGCGACGAUUGUGUUGACAAGCUUGGUAGUGCUGUAAGUUAUGAAACGCAGCGGGUUUGAGAAAAUCUUGCAUCAAACAUAGCAUCACAUCUUUAUCCCCGAAGGCAGAGGUGCACUCCUCGCCAGCUAUGUUUUAAACCCAUAUAUUACGGGGUGAGAGCCGUAGUAAUCCAGUUGCUUGCCUCUCACUUUGACGUCACAGGUUCAAAUCCAGCACAGUCGUAAACCAAUGAUUGUCGAAUUUGUUUCCGAAUUCAUAUUUGGAUCAUAAAUGAUUAUCACGAGCUCAGGUGAGGAAACCCACAUUCCCGAGAAAUGCAUUUUCGGAGGUAUGUGACCUAACCUGCAUUGGGCUGGUUUUGCCUUCGCGGGUUGGAAGGUCAGAGAGGCAGUCGCUUCUGUAAGAAACCGGACCUGUCAAAUCUUCAGGUUACGUAAACGGACCCUGUGAAAAACGUGAAAACCAUAGGGAGAUGAUGAUAAGUGAAGGCAAGUGAGGUCGGUUUCCCACUUCACAGCUCUUUCGAGACAAGAAGAAGAGAGAGAAAGAGAGAGAGAGAGAAAAUGUUUAUUCAACAAAUUGUGACACAUUACAUACGAAGUGUUACAAAUAGAGUAAAAACAACAAAAUAUCAUAAAACAAUUUUUAAAACUCAGUACAUAUUGUGGCACAGCAGUGAAUAGGACACGAACUCAGCAUUGUGUCUAUUUCCGAAGAAACAGACGCUGUUUUUCAGUCGCUCCGAAGAAGCAUAACUAGAUUCGCUUUCCGCUAUUUACUUACAUGGUAUAAAAAACAAUUAUAACGUAUUAAACCAUCAGUAUGCCAUAGCAAUGGGCGCAAGGAAUCCAGUCUGACAAGUUACUCUCGCACAGUACGAUUAUUAAUAAAAAAAAACACCUCGGUUUUGUUGUACCGCCGGCAUAAGAAUAUUCAGUUGACGUACAUACCAGAGGUCCGGGUUUGGAUCCCGGUUGAGUACAGGAAAUUAACUUUUGUUUGACUCGAUUCUAACGGCCUCACAAAUAAAAAUUCCAUCCUUAUUUCAAGAUUAUACUAGGAAUCGUUAAACCUGGUAUAAGCCUAGGGACAUACAUGAUAAUAAGGAGAUAAUUUAAAAAAUCCGAGAAGAAACCAAAAAAUCACAUCUGUCAAUGUCAGUCAGUUUUAGGUUAUUCCGAACUUAAACCUUAUUGAAACAUGUCUCAUAUGUGUUAGUAAACUUAUUCUAGAUGUUGGUAGCCUUAUCUAAUAUUAGAUGCUAUGACAUGCAAGUCACAGCAUCUACGCAGAUACGGGCAGUCGAGUCGCGCACCUAUCAUCGAGAGGGCGGGGUUGCCGCUGCCCCGCACCCUGCGCACCAGAGACGUGCAUCGCUUCCUCAUAGUCAUAUAAAAGCAGUCGACGCGAGCUUCAGCGAACAUGCCCGAGGCGCUACAGAAGCGAGGCAGCCGCAAUAACACCCUAAAAGCGUUGUUGAACUGGACGCGGAUGGCGCUGUAUGCUAUUUGCUUAUUUGUAGAUCGUGCUUAUUCUUAGGUUAUGAUCGGUAUAAAAAGUUACACAGGGUUUAUUUGUAAGGCCGUUAGACUUUAUGCAUCAAAUAGAAGUAAGGACGCGUGAUGGAGUAUGCUCUACAGCAACGGCGGUGUCCUCUCUCGUGAGCUGGAAUGGAGUUGGCUAAGCCAAUAUCAUCCUGCAGAUGAUCGGUGAUAGGCUGGACUGUCCUUAUCUCCGGCAUUGCGGCGACAGACAUGUGCCUGUACCGAUGCCAGUGAGAAGGUACUAAUAUAAAUUUUAACCUAUUUUGUGAUCAUUGAAUAAAAGAAAGAAAUAAAUAAAUAAAUUGUUUUAUAUUAUAAUAUUUUAUUUUAUUAUUUUUUAUUAUAUUUUAUUUGAUUUUAUUUUGUAUAUUAUUUAAAUUUAUUUGAAUGUUUUAUUAUGUAAAUUAUGGAUCAUUGUCAUCUGAAAUAAAGCAAUUUAUUAUUAUUAAAGCCGAACUUUGUAUUAAACAGCCGGCCACAUUGAAGGCUGAAUAGCUGUCCAUCCGUGUAAAAAAAACAUACUUAUUUACUUCCCAAAAGAAGAGAAGUAUAGAGAAUAAAAUUAGGUAACUUAUCUAGAAACCCAGAGUGGUAAGCUCUGGCUCUCAAUCUUGGAAUAAAUCUAUACCUUGGUUAACAGUACAAGACUGUGGACAAAAGUUAUGAACUAGAAUUAUGUCUAAGCCUUAAGUUUAAGCUGUUGUUAAAGGGCUUAGGAUGUACCUUGCGUUUUUGGUGUUUUUAGUCGAGAUCUAAGCAACUGAACUGAACGAUUUGAAUGCGCUUUUUUGUUUAAUAGUUGAAGUAGAGUCAACCCUUAAUACGUGCAUAAUAUGAGUGAUUGUACAUGUACUUAUGUGGAAAUAUCUUACAACUAUUGUUAACAUAUGAUGUAUAAUUGUUUGUUAUCCCAUGAAAAUAAAUAAAUACAUAAUGCUCUUUGGUUGAAGUGA
This is a long non-coding RNA of Pectinophora gossypiella (pink bollworm), 4319 nucleotides long. RefSeq lists it as uncharacterized. NCBI's taxonomy places the organism in Eukaryota, Metazoa, Arthropoda, Insecta, Lepidoptera, Gelechiidae. The transcript is spliced from 2 exons. The record is from RefSeq and is a predicted model, not a curated record.